Molecule: long non-coding RNA, 772 nt
Organism: Carassius gibelio (silver crucian carp)
Lineage: Eukaryota; Metazoa; Chordata; Actinopteri; Cypriniformes; Cyprinidae
Exons: 2
Source: RefSeq, a predicted model, not a curated record
UUCACUAGUUCACGCUUACAUAUAAUUAGCUGAGGUAUGGUAUGCGUAUUUGGCGUGCUGUCCGGGGAAGGGCUCCGAGCUCGGGAAUUGCCCGAAGCUAGAGUACCCCCCAAAAAGGCAAAUGUACAGGAGGACAGCCGCCAGUUUAAAGAAUGCCCCCCAAAAAGCAGAGUACUGGCGGGGGCUGAUUUGGUUUUUGAGAAGUUAUCUCGUUGGCAGGCUGGAAGGGCCUACGUACUCCGGAGGGAGCGACUUGGGCGUUGAGAGAGUAGGCCCUACCAGCUGCAGCUAGUGAACUACGUGGUUGUUGGCGCCCGGUCGGUAGGGCUCGGGCCGAUGCUCAACUGGAGUUUUUUGGCGUUGGAUCGGUGAGCCCUGCCGGCCGAUGAGGAGGAGCGGCGUGGUUGUGGUGCCCGACCGGGAGGACCCGAGUUGCCUCGACCGGAAUAGGUCACGGUGUCGGCGUACGGGCCCUACUGGCUGAUAGCCCCUGCUAUUCAGUGGGUGAAGGGCCUAACGCUGACCGAGAGGGCCCAUGAAGCCUCCGACAGGAGAUUGAGACUCAGGAUGACGGACGUCUGGGUCCUCUCGGUUAGGCAGAUAAAAAGCUUUUGGGCCAGCCGACAAGGAGGACUCUGGCAACAUCCGAAGGGAGAUCCCGACUCACGGCAUCGGCUGGAUGAGAUUCACUUGCGGCUGGCAAGCAUAGGCCCGUCCGGGAGACUCUCGCCAGACGUCUGAAGGGAGCGCACGCGACAGACGGGUAAGCCUC